Molecule: ribosomal RNA, 453 nt
Filed under: uncultured organism
Description: partial 16S ribosomal RNA
Rfam family: Bacterial small subunit ribosomal RNA
Source: RNAcentral
CGUACACUCCUACGGGAGGCAGCAGUGGGGAAUAUUGGACAAUGGGCGCAAGCCUGAUCCAGCCAUGCCGCGUGAGUGAUGAAGGCCCUAGGGUUGUAAAGCUCUUUCACCGGUGAAGAUAAUGACGGUAACCGGAGAAGAAGCCCCGGCUAACUUCGUGCCAGCAGCUGCGGUAAUACGAAGGGGGCUAGCGUUGUUCGGAUUUACGGGGCGUAAAGCGCACGUAGGCGGACUAUUAAGUCAGGGGUGAAAUCCCGGGGCUCAACCCCGGAACUGCCGUUGAUACUGGUAGUCUUGAGUUCGAGAGAGGUGAGUGGAAUUCCGAGUGUAGAGGUGAAAUUCGUAGAUAUUCGGAGGAACACCAGUGGCGAAGGCGGCUCACUGGCUCGAUACUGACGCUGAGGUGCGAAAGCGUGGGGAGCAAACAGGAUUAGAUACCCCUGUAGUCCCAUG